This 885-nucleotide long non-coding RNA is filed under the name Homo sapiens (human). RNAcentral's name for it is "non-protein coding ENTPD1-AS1:42". Lineage: Eukaryota; Metazoa; Chordata; Mammalia; Primates; Hominidae. The record is from RNAcentral.
GCUGCCGCCCCUGGCCUGCCAGGACCCAGAGGGAGCGGAGCACGCGCCUUUGGGAAUCUUCGGUGCGCCAAGUCUGUUCGCCGCCGGGGUCUAUCACCCCCGCCCCUCGCCUCUGCCCGUGAGCGUCAGCUGGCUUGGCUUUUUCAGAGGAAACAGAGACUCUCAGACAUGAAUACUGUGACACUGACCACCAGGCCAACUUAACAUCAGCAGAUAUCCUGUCUCAGAUGAAGAGAUGGAGUCUCGCACUGUCGCCCCAGUUGGAGUGUAAUGGUGCGAUCUCGGCUCACUGCAAGCUCCGCCUCCCGGGUUCAUGCCAUUCUCCUGCCUCAGCCUCCUGAGUAGCUGGAACUACAGAAUGGCCUGUCCAGAAGACAGCCAAAUACAUCCUUCAAACAGACUUCACUGCAGGAGACAGAGUGGAUUCAUCCUGUAUUCUCCAUGUAGACUUCCAUCUUCAUGAGUACUCCAAGAAGAUGGUUCAGUUGACUAUUGCAAAGUCUCAGGUAUGUCUUUAUCAGCAGCAUGAAAAUGGACUAAUAGUACCAGUAGAGUGGGGCAUUGCUGAAAAGAUACCCGAAAAUGUGGAAGCAACUUUGGAACUGGGUGUUGAAAUAAUCUGGAGGGCUCAGAAGAAGAUAGGAAAAUGUAGGAAAGUUUGGAACCUCCUAGAGACUGUGAAUGGCAUUGACAAAAAUACUGAUAGUGAUAUGAACAAUAAGGUCCAGGCUGAGGUGGUCUCAGAUGGAGAUGAAGACCUUGUUGGGAACUGAAGUAAAGGUGACCCUUGUUAUGUUUUAGCAAGGAGACUGGCAGCAUUUCACCCUUGCCCUAGAGAUUUGUGGAACUUAGAGCUUGAGAGAGAUGACUUAGGGUAUCUGGUGG